AGCUUCUAUAGCUUCCAUUAUCAUCUGCAAAGAAAACAUGAACUCAUUAAUUCCCUUUACAGUUUGAGCUAAAAUACAUACAAAUUCAAAUUCUACCCUUAAACAUCAAAAAGAUAAACAACAAACUUGAACCAAAAAAAAAAGUUCAUAUUACUCACAUCGGGGUAAGAAGGCAAAAUUGAAGGAGAUGAAGGCGGAAGCUGAGUAGGAGUUGGGUUAUCAAUUUGUUGCUCAGUAGCCAUGUUUUUGCUUUUUGUAAAUCAGAAAACCAAAAAAAUAAAAAGCAAAAUGAUGAGAGGGGAAUAGUACUGUAGAAGGAGAAGCUGAGCUAAGAAAUAUUUU
This 342-nucleotide long non-coding RNA is filed under the name Nicotiana tabacum (common tobacco). RNAcentral describes it as "long non-coding RNA (NTAB_LNC014864)". Lineage: Eukaryota; Viridiplantae; Streptophyta; Magnoliopsida; Solanales; Solanaceae. The record is from RNAcentral.